GAUGAACGCUGGCGGCGUGCCUAACACAUGCAAGUCGAACGGAGAUUACGGACGGAAGUUUUCGGAUGGAGGCCUGUAAUUCUUAGUGGCGGACGGGUGAGUAACGCGUGGGCAACCUGCCCUAUACAGGGGGAUAGCAGCUGGAAACGGCUGGUAAGACCGCAUAAGUCGGUUAAAUCGCAUGAUUUGAUCGGGAAAUGAGCAAUCAGGUAUAGGAUGGGCCCGCGUCCGAUUAGCCAGUUGGCAGGGUAAAAGCCUACCAAAGCGACGAUCGGUAGCCGGACUGAGAGGUCGGACGGCCACAUUGGGACUGAGACACGGCCCAAACUCCUACGGGAGGCAGCAGUGGGGGAUAUUGCACAAUGGAGGAAACUCUGAUGCAGCGACGCCGCGUGAGUGAAGAAGUAUUUCGGUAUGUAAAGCUCUAUCAGCAGGGAAGAUGAUGACGGUACCUGACUAAGAAGCCCCGGCUAACUACGUG
RNAcentral lists this ribosomal RNA (481 nucleotides) under uncultured bacterium. Its description in RNAcentral is "partial 16S ribosomal RNA". It matches the Rfam family "Bacterial small subunit ribosomal RNA", at positions 28 to 507 of the family's 1533-position model. The record is from RNAcentral.